UACAGAGGUGCCGAGCGUUAGGCGGAAUCACUGGGCUUAAAGCGUGUGUAGGCGGGCCGUUAAGUAUCUUGUGAAAUCCCCCGGCUCAACCGGGGAAUGGCUGGAUAUACUGGCGGUCUUGAGCAGUUCAGGGGCAGAUGGAACAGACGGUGGAGCGGUGAAAUGCGUAGAUAUCAGGAAGAACACCCGUGGCGAAGGCGGCUCUCUGGGACGGUACUGACGCUGAGACGCGAAAGCGUGGGGAGCGAACAGG
This 253-nucleotide ribosomal RNA is filed under the name uncultured bacterium. RNAcentral describes it as "partial 16S ribosomal RNA". It matches the Rfam family "Bacterial small subunit ribosomal RNA", at positions 524 to 776 of the family's 1533-position model. The record is from RNAcentral.